AUUUUCUUCCAAUGAUUUUUUUUUGUCUUUAACUUGUUAUUUUUUGUCAGUGGAUAAUGGAAGAAAAACUAAGGUUGAGCUACUUGCAAAGCAUGAUUUUUGUGCUUUUAAUAAAUAAACCUAAGGUUCAGACACAAUUUAUAUUAGGUCUCACCCAAACAAAACAAAGUUUCAACUUAAUCAAACAUUCAUAUUUAUG
Molecule: long non-coding RNA, 199 nt
Organism: Populus euphratica (Euphrates poplar)
Lineage: Eukaryota; Viridiplantae; Streptophyta; Magnoliopsida; Malpighiales; Salicaceae
Exons: 4
Source: RefSeq, a predicted model, not a curated record